Molecule: long non-coding RNA, 1905 nt
Filed under: Homo sapiens (human)
Lineage: Eukaryota; Metazoa; Chordata; Mammalia; Primates; Hominidae
Description: HSALNT0378299
Source: RNAcentral
CCACGGAAGUUCGCGCCAUUUGCAGAGGGGAGGAGCCCAGCCUCUUGCGUUCCUGUGUGAUGGGGCCGGAGCCAGUAAACAGGCUUCCUUCUCGCUCUGCUGUAUAAGAAGAAGAAGUAGGAGAAACAAAAUAAGGAGGAGAAGAAGUAAAAUAAUUUGAGAAGGAAUAUGAAGGGGCUGAAAUCCUGGGCUUUCUGGGCAGAAGGAUCUACGAGCGGGAUCGUGGGUGAAACAUGAAGAUGAUGGUGGACAGGUGAGCUACGCAGUUCGUGGAAGAACCAGGGGUCACAUGGCCUAGAUGCUACCCUAGAUGAGAAAGAGUCCAAUGGUUAUCAACAAGUUCUGAAAGGCAAGGCCUAAGGUCCCAUGUGGACAAGCCAGUAAGAGUUUUCAACUUGGGUGCCAGCAGUAACCGGUUAUACAAAGGAAACUCAACAUUCCUCUUCCCCAAAGUAAACCUAUUGCAAAAACCCCUUCCAUCUAAUAAUAGCAACUCAAGUUCCAGAACAACAAAGAACAGCUGAUCGACUAAUCCAGAGGCCAAACUUCUAACCUCAAAAUGGUCCCAUGGAGUUUCAUACAUUUUCCAGAGUUACAAAACCUGGCUAACACUGAGUCAAGUUAGGAAUCUCAAUCAAUGUCUUUGACCAACUUAAAGUGUUUGUAGAAUGUUUGAUGUACCUAAGAGUGAGUAAAAUGUGAAAGUCAGUUGCUGGAAUUGGUUGAAUGAGAGUGUCGGGUGAAGAAGGCAAGACAUGCAACAGAGGAAGAGGAAUGUGUCAUCCAAGAGGGGAAAAGAGAAAUACUAUUACUAUCUGUUGUCUUGGUGGUUCUCAUGAGGAGUGAAAGGAGAAUUGCUAACCUGGAAGAAGAUCAGAGAAACACACUAUACAGUCCUGCAGUCCUUCACCAAGUAGCAUGGGAUAGAAGCUCUGAACAUCAGCAUAAUUUUGAGGCCUAAAGUGUAAGAAUUGCUAGAAAUGCUGUGGUAUUAUUAAUUAAUUAAUUAAUUAAUAAUUAAUUUAUUUUUGUAUUAACUUAUUUUUAUUUAGAAAUGAUGGUAAAGAUGAUGAUGAUGAUGAUGAUGAUGCUUACAAUAACAGAUACUCAAGGUUAAAAAAUAAUUGUAAAAGUUCAAACUUACAUUAGAGUAAAAGUUAUCCUGGGUGCUGCAACCUUUGUCCAACAUGACUCAUGUAACCAAUAUUAACAGUGUAACCACAAAGCUUUGUAGUGGAAUACAUGUAGGCAAUUAUUUUUACCCAACAAGAUAUACUAGCAUUGGUUUUUCUCUGCCUCUGUUUCUGAUGAGUUGUUCAUACAAUAGAGGCUAGAUAGAAUAUUCAAGUCAAUAUAAUACAAACACAACUACCACUACAUAUGGGCUAGAAGCAGGAACCCCAUCACCCACCUAGAGAAUACAGAAGAAUUGAGAAAGUGAAGAGAAUAUUGUCAGGAUAUUGGAGAAGAGAUUUCUUUGGCGAUGAUGGGCACUCAAGUGAGAUAAUUAGCUUAGGGUCACCUAGGGUCCUAUAAAAAGGUAACCCAGCAGAUAAACACUGCAGGAGUAUUUAACGAUGCUCAGGGGCCUGAGAAAUGGUAAAAUUACACCAUCACCCAGGCCCACGGUGCUGCAUAUAUCACUACAUCUCAUCCCCUGCUGCCCCCCACACUGCAGCCAGAAGUUGUGAAAGGCGCGCAGGAGAGAGCAGAGAAGCAGCAGGACCUCCCCUCUAUCUCCACUGUCGGUGUCCCUACCGAACAGGGUCCUAGAUGGGUAGGAAGGAAGAAUUUAACACUGAGUCAAGUUGGGAAUUUCAAUUGAUAGUUUGACUGAUUAAAAGUGAUUGUAGAAAUGCCUGCAUUAUCGGGCGGGUGCGGUGGCUCACGCCUGUAAUCCCAGCA